UAGUAAUCGCGAAUCAGAAUGUCGCGGUGAAUACGUUCCCGGGCCUUGUACACACCGCCCGUCACACCAUGAGAGUCGAUAACACCCGAAGCCUGUGAGCUAACCUUUUAGGAGGCAGCAGUCGAAGGUGGGGUUNAUGAUUGGGGUGAAGUCGUAACAAGGUAGC
This 166-nucleotide ribosomal RNA is filed under the name uncultured bacterium. RNAcentral describes it as "partial 16S ribosomal RNA". It matches the Rfam family "Bacterial small subunit ribosomal RNA", at positions 1336 to 1500 of the family's 1533-position model. The record is from RNAcentral.